RNAcentral lists this ribosomal RNA (247 nucleotides) under Fusarium sp. RNAcentral's name for it is "partial large subunit ribosomal RNA". It matches the Rfam family "Eukaryotic large subunit ribosomal RNA", at positions 398 to 664 of the family's 3401-position model. Lineage: Eukaryota; Fungi; Ascomycota; Sordariomycetes; Hypocreales; Nectriaceae. The record is from RNAcentral.
CGUGAAAUUGUUGAAAGGGAAGCGUUUAUGACCAGACUUGGGCUUGGUUAAUCAUCUGGGGUUCUCCCCAGUGCACUUUUCCAGUUCAGGCCAGCAUCAGUUUUCCCCGGGGGAUAAAGGCGGCGGGAAUGUGGCUCUCUUCGGGGAGUGUUAUAGCCCGCCGUGUAAUACCCUGGGGGGGACUGAGGUUCGCGCAUCUGCAAGGAUGCUGGCGUAAUGGUCAUCAACGACCCGUCUUGAAACACGG